RNAcentral lists this ribosomal RNA (253 nucleotides) under uncultured bacterium. RNAcentral's name for it is "partial 16S ribosomal RNA". It matches the Rfam family "Bacterial small subunit ribosomal RNA", at positions 524 to 776 of the family's 1533-position model. The record is from RNAcentral.
UACGUAGGGUGCGAGCGUUAAUCGGAAUUACUGGGCGUAAAGCGUGCGCAGGCGGUUUUGUAAGCCAGAUGUGAAAUCUCCGGGCUUAACUCGGAACGGUCAAGUGAUACUGUCGUGCUAGAGUACAGAAGGGGCAACUGGAAUUCUCGGUGUAGCGGUGAAAUGCGUAGAUAUUGGGAAGAACACCAAUUGCGAAGGCAGCUCGCUGGGACGUUACUGACGCUGAGACGCGAAAGCGUGGGGAGCAAACAGG